AUGAUUCGACUCAUAUGGUG
RNAcentral lists this microRNA (20 nucleotides) under Danio rerio (zebrafish). RNAcentral describes it as "dre-miR-2197". The record is from miRBase by way of RNAcentral. Lineage: Eukaryota; Metazoa; Chordata; Actinopteri; Cypriniformes; Danionidae.